GAAAAGGAUUAAUUAGUAAAUGACGAUGAUGAUUUUUGUGUAAAGCGACGCCUCCAAACGAUCUGAACACCAGAACAACAGAUUAACACAAACAGAGAAAUUAUGCAGAACUUUUACUGAGAUUAGGAGUGUCUGUCUGUCUGUCUGUCUGUCUCUCAGAGCAUGCGUCGGUGGUGGCUGGUGCAGUAAUCGGGGCGAUUCUGCUGGUGGCGCUGCUUUUGGGGGUUCUGUAUUACGUCUUCCGUGUGAAAGGAGUCAAACUGAGCGCUGCUGGUCUCUCUGGGAGAGACACCAAACACGUAGACGUGCCUGCUUUCAACAACCCGAACUUUGCAGGGGAGUCGGACACAUGAAGAGGCAAACGAAGCUGCACAGCUUGUACAGAUUCAGCGUUUAUGCUAAAGUAAAAAAGCUUAGAGGAAAUUCUGAGCAAUAAUCGUCAAAAUUCAUUCAAAUUUGUCUUUUUGUAAGUAACUGUAAUUAACAGUAAAGCUAUGAAGUCCUAGUGGUGAAUGAUGUAGCCAAUACAUUGAAUUGUUUCCUGUACAUACAUUUUUAUCCUGAAAUGCUGAAUUAAAGCUGAAUUAAAAGUUUCCUCAAAUUCUGCCUACAUUUUUGACUGUCAGAAGCGCUUUGAUGUCACUCACUACAUCGAGUAAAAAGACUUUAGUCUGAGACUGAACACAGUUGUGUGUAUCAUGAUUAUUAAUAAUGUUAUGAAUGUUGCACUUAUGUUUCUGUUGGUGUGUCACGUGUUUGAGUGAUGGCAGCUGUUUCUGCACAUCAUCUGAGAUUUAAACUCACGGCCAAAACUCAGUGUAACACUCUCUGUGUAAAACUCACAGUGUAAAAGUCUCUCAGUGUAAAAGUCUCUCAGUGUAACACUCUCUCAGUGUAACACUCUCUCAGUGUAACACUCUCUGUGUAAAACUCACAGUGUAAAAGUCUCUCAGUGUAACACUCUCUCAGUGUAACACUCUCUCAGUGUAACACUCUCUGUGUAAAACUCUCUGUGUAAAACUCACAGUGUAAAACUCACAGUGUAAAAGUCUCACAGUGUAAAAGUCUCAC
This is a long non-coding RNA of Pygocentrus nattereri (red-bellied piranha), 1071 nucleotides long. The record is from Ensembl. NCBI's taxonomy places the organism in Eukaryota, Metazoa, Chordata, Actinopteri, Characiformes, Serrasalmidae.